Non-coding RNA from Electrophorus electricus (electric eel), 171 nucleotides. The record is from RefSeq and is a predicted model, not a curated record. Lineage: Eukaryota; Metazoa; Chordata; Actinopteri; Gymnotiformes; Gymnotidae.
CAGAGAAUUAUGAUGAUGUUAUUACCACUGGACCAAACCCAAACAUUACAGCAAUGGCCACACCAGAAGACUGUAAUGAUGCUGCAACAAACCCAAAUUUUACAGAAAUGGACACACCAGAGAACAGUGAUGACAUCAUCACUGCUGGACAGGACGUAGGAGGUGUAAAUG